GUGGGGAAUAUUGCGCAAUGGGGGAAACCCUGACGCAGCGACGCCGCGUGAGCGAAGAAGGCCUUAGGGUUGUAAAGCUCUGUUUUAAGGGACGAAUGUCGUGGGGAGUAAUAUGCUCUGCGAAUGACGGUACCUUAAGAGGAAGCCCCGGCUAACUACGUGCCAGCAGCCGCGGUAAGACGUAGGGGGCGAGCGUUGUCCGGAAUUACUGGGCGUAAAGAGCACGUAGGCGGGAACUUAAGUCAGGUGUGAAAGACCGGGGCUCAACUCCGGGGUUGCACUUGAAACUGGGUUUCUUGAGGGCAGGAGAGGAAAGCAGAAUUCCUGGUGUAGCGGUGAAAUGCGUAGAAAUCAGGAGGAAUACCAGUGGCGAAGGCGGCUUUCUGGACUGACCCUGACGCUGAGGUGCGAAAGCGUGGGUAGCAAACAGGAUUAGAAACCCCUGUAGUCC
RNAcentral lists this ribosomal RNA (451 nucleotides) under uncultured bacterium. RNAcentral's name for it is "partial 16S ribosomal RNA". It matches the Rfam family "Bacterial small subunit ribosomal RNA", at positions 354 to 796 of the family's 1533-position model. The record is from RNAcentral.